This 1235-nucleotide ribosomal RNA is filed under the name metagenome. Its description in RNAcentral is "bacterial LSU rRNA". It matches the Rfam family "Bacterial large subunit ribosomal RNA", at positions 1564 to 2808 of the family's 2925-position model. The record is from RNAcentral.
UGAGUACGAGACGCUACGGCGUCGAAGCAGUCUAUGUCAUACUUCCAAGAAAAGCUUGCACUGUCAUAAACAAAUAAUGCCUGUACCAUAACCGACACAGGUGGGUAGGUAGAGUAUACUAAGGGGCGCGAGAUAACUCUCUCUAAGGAACUCGGCAAAAUGACUCCGUAACUUCGGGAGAAGGAGUGCCUUAUUCUUAAGGUUGCAAUAACAAGAUCCAAGCAACUGUUUAUCAAAAACACAGGUCUCCGCUAAGUCGUAAGACGAUGUAUGGGGGCUGACGCCUGCCCAGUGCCAGAAGGUUAAAGAAGUUGGUUAGCAUUCGCGAAGCUGAUAACUGAAGCCCUGGUGAACGGCGGCCGUAACGAUAACGGUCCUAAGGUAGCGAAAUUCCUUGUCGGGUAAGUUCCGACCCGCACGAAAGGCGUAAUGAUUUGGGUGCUGUCUCGGAGAGGGGCUCGGUGAAAUAGACUUGUCUGUGAAGAUGCGGACUACCUGCACCUGGACAGAAAGACCCUAUGAAGCUUUACUGUAACUUGAAAUUGAAAUUGGACUUUAUUUGCGCAGUAUAGGUGGGAGGCGUUGAGAAUAUUCUUGCGGGAAUAUUGGAGCCAUCAGUGAGAUACCACUCUUGUAAUGUUAGAUUUCUAACUUUGAAUCAUUAUCUGGUCAAAGGACAGUUUCAGGCGGGCAGUUUGACUGGGGCGGUCGCCUCCUAAAUGGUAACGGAGGCGCACAAAGGUUUCCUCUGAACGGGUAGAAAUCGUAUCUAGAGUGUAAAGGCAUAAGGAAGCUUGACUGUGAGACCUACAAGUCGAGCAGGGACGAAAGUCGGUCUUAGUGAUCUGACGGUGCUGAGUGGAAAGGCCGUCACUCAACGGAUAAAAGUUACUCUAAGGAUAACAGGCUGAUCUCCCCCAAGAGUUCACAUCGACGGGGAGGUUUGGCACCUCGAUGUCGGCUCAUCGCAUCCUGGGGCGGUAGUACGUCCCAAGGGUUGGGCUGUUCGCCCAUGAAAGCGGUACGCGAGCUGGGUUCAGAACGUCGUGAGACAGUUCGGUCCAUAUCCGGUGUAGGCGUUAGAAUAUUGAGAGGAGCCUUCUUUAGUACGAGAGGACCGAGAAGGACAUACCUCUGGUGUACCAGUUAUCGUGCCAACGGUAAACGCUGGGUAGCUAUGUAUGGAGAGGAUAGCCGCUGAAAGCAUCUAAGUGGGAAGCCCACCUCAAGAUAAG